Molecule: ribosomal RNA, 459 nt
Filed under: uncultured bacterium
Lineage: Bacteria
Description: partial 16S ribosomal RNA
Rfam family: Bacterial small subunit ribosomal RNA
Source: RNAcentral
CCUACGGGUGGCAGCAGUGAGGAAUAUUGGUCAAUGGGCGCGAGCCUGAACCAGCCAAGUCGCGUGAGGGAAGACGGUCCUAUGGGUUGUAAACCUCUUUUGUCGGGGAGCAAAAGACGCCACGCGUGGCGUUCCGAGAGUACCCGAAGAAAAAGCAUCGGCUAACUCCGUGCCAGCAGCAGCGGUAAUACGGAGGAUGCGAGCGUUAUCCGGAUUUAGUGGGUUUAAAGGGUGCGCAGGCGGAAGGUCAAGUCAGCGGUAAAAUUGGGUGGCUCAACCUCUUCGAGCCGUUGAAACUGGUGUUCUUGAGUGAGCGAGAGGUAUGCGGAAUGUGUGGUGUAGCGGUGAAAUGCAUAGAUAUCACGCAGAACCCCGAUUGCGAAGGCAGCAUACCGGUGCUCAACUGACGCUCAUGCACGAAAGUGUGGGUAUCGAACAGGAUUAGAUACCCGUGUAGUC